GACACAGUCGCAUAGUGGCUAUUGCGUUGGCCUGCUAAGCCAAUUCCCUCUGGGAGCGAGAGUUCAAUCCUCGGCGGAGCCC
Molecule: transfer RNA, 82 nt
Filed under: Rozella allomycis CSF55
Lineage: Eukaryota; Fungi; Rozellomycota
Description: tRNA-Ser
Source: RNAcentral